RNAcentral lists this unclassified non-coding RNA (307 nucleotides) under fungal sp. RNAcentral describes it as "partial internal transcribed spacer region". The stretch from base 1 to 46 matches the Rfam family "Eukaryotic small subunit ribosomal RNA", at positions 1786 to 1831 of the family's 1831-position model. Lineage: Eukaryota; Fungi. The record is from RNAcentral.
AAGUCGUAACAAGGUAACCGUAGGUGAACCUGCGGUUGGAUCAUUAAAGAAUUUUAAAAGGGUGUUUUACUUUAUAGUAAACUCCUUUUAGCUUUAAAAAAAUUGGGUUAGUUCUUUCUCUUUGAAAGACUAACUUCAAACCUUGUGUGCAUUGUUAACUGUCUUUGGUGAGAACGAAAAAGGAUUCAUUAAAUGAAUUCUUAAUCACUCACCAAAAUUUAUUUUAAAACUUUGUUUAUUUAAAAAGUCUUGAAUUUUCAAUAUAAAAAAUUGAAAACAACUUUUGACAACGGAUCUCUUGGCUCUC